CCCUUAGAUGUUCUGGGCAGCACGCGCGCUACAAUGGUCUUCGCAAACGGAUGCAUUCUCGAAUGAGAAUGCCAAUCUUGGAAUCUAUGCCUUGGUCGGGACAGUUGCUUGCAAUUUUUCGACUCGAACCAGGAAUUCCUUGUAAUCGUGAUUCAUCACAUCACGAUGAAUACGUCCCUGCCCUUUGUACACACCGCCCGUCGCUCCUACCGAUCGAAGAGUUAGGUGAAUUGUUUUGAUCGAUAAGAUUUGACUAUGGUCAACUCUCGUUGUGAAAUUCUGUGAAUCUGACUGUUUAGAGGAAGGAAAAGUCGUAACA
Molecule: ribosomal RNA, 319 nt
Filed under: uncultured eukaryote
Lineage: Eukaryota
Description: partial 18S ribosomal RNA
Rfam family: Eukaryotic small subunit ribosomal RNA
Source: RNAcentral